AAUUGGGAUCUCUGUCUGAGGGAUUGAAAUUUGUGACAACAUUGCAGAACCUGGAAAUUCACAGCUGUCCAAAAUUCAAGGAAUUACUAGAAAUGAUGGAAAACCUCAUUUCGCUUGGAUCUCUGUCAAUCUUAGACUGCAAAAAUCUGAAGUCAUCGCCAGAGGGCUUCCAACGUCUCAGUGCACUGCAACAUUUGUCCAUGAGAGAUUGUCCUGAUCUCAAAAAUGGAUGUGAGAUGGGGAAAGGAGUUGAUUGGCAGAAAAUAUCUCACGCACCAUAUGUCUAUCUUGGAUAAUCAGCAUAUUGCUAGCAACUCUUUGGUUUCAUAGGUGCUUGCUGUUGCCAACCUGAAACAAGCUUCUGAUCGUUUGAUAUCAAACAACUCUUAAAUCAUUAACUAUCUUUCUUACUAUUGGAACAUAGUGGACUAUAGUUGGUAGACCAAGGAAGGAUGUUGAGUACUGGAAGCAGUUGGAGACUGCCCUCUGCAGCUUGCACCAGAAAGAUGAAAAUAUAUGGAUCAGGUAGGAGAUUUGUACUUCUGUUUGAUUGGAUGCUG
Molecule: unclassified non-coding RNA, 560 nt
Filed under: Hevea brasiliensis (rubber tree)
Lineage: Eukaryota; Viridiplantae; Streptophyta; Magnoliopsida; Malpighiales; Euphorbiaceae
Source: RNAcentral